GUCGGAGUGGCGGAAUUGGUAGACGCGCUAGGUUGAGGGCCUAGUGGGCAGUUAUGCCCGUGGAGGUUCGAGUCCUCUCUCCGACA
RNAcentral lists this transfer RNA (86 nucleotides) under Acidimicrobiia bacterium. Its description in RNAcentral is "tRNA-Leu". It matches the Rfam family "tRNA". Rfam says of the family: Transfer RNA (tRNA) molecules are approximately 80 nucleotides in length. Their secondary structure includes four short double-helical elements and three loops (D, anti-codon, and T loops). The record is from RNAcentral. Lineage: Bacteria; Bacillati; Actinomycetota; Acidimicrobiia.